RNAcentral lists this ribosomal RNA (249 nucleotides) under uncultured bacterium. RNAcentral describes it as "partial 16S ribosomal RNA". It matches the Rfam family "Bacterial small subunit ribosomal RNA", at positions 84 to 334 of the family's 1533-position model. The record is from RNAcentral.
UUUGAUGGCGACCGGCGCACGGGUGAGUAACACGUAUCCAACCUGCCGAUGACUCGGGGAUAGCCUUUCGAAAGAAAGAUUAAUACCCGAUGGCAUAGUUCUUCCGCAUGGUAGAACUAUUAAAGAAUUUCGGUCAUCGAUGGGGAUGCGUUCCAUUAGGUUGUUGGCGGGGUAACGGCCCACCAAGCCUUCGAUGGAUAGGGGUUCUGAGAGGAAGGUCCCCUACAUUGGAACUGAGACACGGUCCAA